CUAUGAAGGAGGUGUUCCGGACUCUCUGCUCUCCUACAGGAUGACAGCUGGUGAGGAGCCGGGCUCUCCAAUGAGGAAACCAGCGACAUGCAAGAGAACGGCGGAGCCCGAAGCAGCCCCCAAGAUCCUUUGCAUCACUCCUCGAGCCAAUCAUCUCUGUUUGAGCUUGGCAAGGUUCAAACAAGGUUCAGGAAAGUGCAUGCUCGUGAGGGUACGUGAGCUCUACAGGAACCCCUUCAUGUGCUCGGUCUGUGUUGGAGAGUCGACCUCGCAAAUGAAGAAUUGUAACGUUUUUCAUCGCAGACGUCCAGUGUCAUUACAAACACGCUUCCAUUGUGACCUGUAAAGUUGAAAGGGCAUCGCCAAAUAUGGUUAAUGACGUAUAUUCCUGUGUCUGUCAGCAUGUGUCUCUCUGCCAAAGUUUAAUUUGACCCCGUUUGAAAACAACUAAUUUCCUGUGGAAUUCACAUUAACUCUCCCAAAUUAGGCCAGAUGAUCUUUGCAAAAAAAGGUUUUCAAAAGGUGGACGAGGUGUGGAAGAGAUAUUUAUGUCUUUGACGUAUAUCGCUGGAAUCUGUUGCUCUUAAAUUGCCACCUUGGAACUCCA
Long non-coding RNA from Cyprinus carpio carpio, 607 nucleotides. Lineage: Eukaryota; Metazoa; Chordata; Actinopteri; Cypriniformes; Cyprinidae. The record is from Ensembl.